This 217-nucleotide ribosomal RNA is filed under the name uncultured bacterium. RNAcentral describes it as "partial 16S ribosomal RNA". It matches the Rfam family "Bacterial small subunit ribosomal RNA", at positions 326 to 539 of the family's 1533-position model. The record is from RNAcentral.
ACGCUCGACACCCACGGAGGCAGCAGUGAGGAAUAUUGGUCAAUGGGCGCUAGCCUGAACCAGCCAAGUAGCGUGAAGGAUGAAGGCUCUAUGGGUCGUAAACUUCUUUUAUAUAAGAAUAAAGUGCAGUAUGUAUACUGUUUUGUAUGUAUUAUAUGAAUAAGGAUCGGCUAACUCCGUGCCUGCAGCCGCGGUAAUCUGAGCGGGCUGGCAAGGC